AUUGAACGCUGGCGGCAGGCCUAACACAUGCAAGUCGAGCGGAUGAAGGGAGCUUGCUCCUGGAUUCCGCGGCGGACGGGUGAGUAAUGCCUAGGAAUCUGCCUGGUAGUGGGGGAUAACGUCCGGAAACGGGCGCUAAUACCGCAUACGUCCUGCGGGAGAAAGUGGGGGAUCUUCGGACCUCACGCUAUCAGAUGAGCCUAGGUCGGAUUAGCUAGUUGGUGGGGUAAAGGCCUACCAAGGCGACGAUCCGUAACUGGUCUGAGAGGAUGAUCAGUCACACUGGAAGUGAGACACGGUCCAGACUCCUACGGGAGGCAGCAGUGGGGAAUAUUGGACAGUGGGCGAAAGCCUGAUCCAGCCAUGCCGCGUGUGUGAAGAAGGUCUUCGGAUUGUAAAGCACUUUAAGUUGGGAGGAAGGGCAGUAAGUUAAUACCUUGCUGUUUUGACGUUACCAGCAGAAUAAGCACCGGCUAACUUCGUG
This 484-nucleotide ribosomal RNA is filed under the name uncultured bacterium. Its description in RNAcentral is "partial 16S ribosomal RNA". It matches the Rfam family "Bacterial small subunit ribosomal RNA", at positions 30 to 507 of the family's 1533-position model. The record is from RNAcentral.